AUGGACGAGGGAAGCCUUCAUCUCUGUCCACGUCUCGGAAGGGAUAAAGAACACGGGACCGGCCCCUUCUGCUGUCUGCCAGAGGCCUCUGGGACCUCCGCUCUGAGGGGUACACGCGGGGAUUCAUCCGGCUCAGCACCCACAGCGCUCCGCGCAGCGCUCCGCGCAGCGUCCACCCGCCCAGCGUCCACCCGCCUCCAGAGCCCUCCGUGUGUCUCCCGAGUUCAGGAGCCUCUCGUGCUAUGUGUCCCGUGUCCCCUGCGAGCCUCUGCGUUGUUGCUCGGGUUCCCGGUAUCCGUGACGCCACACGGUACGUGCGUGUCUGCGACUGGCGAGGAAGACCCUCCGGUCCACCCGGUCCUGCAGACGGCAGGCGCCGGGGACUUCGGCUCACGGGUCCCAGGAAUCCCGCCACACCUGAGCCUGCAUCGUGGACCCGCCGCCGUGUCCCAGCGUCCCAGUGUUCUCGGGCGGGACCCCGACCGCCCACCGUGCCGCAGGAUGCAGCGUGGUCCCCCGUGGGUCCCAGGCUUCGCUCGCCACCCCCCGCAGGAGUGGGACGCAAAGACCAGAGACAGGGACAGGAGCCUCGGGCUCGGGGCCGCACAGAGUUGGCGUCUGGGCAGGAGGGAACCCACCUGGCUUGGAUGCGUGCACAGGGGCUUGGAACUCUGAAGGGGCACAGGAGAGGGACCCCUGGGGGUCCUUUCGAAGGCCGAGCUGAGAGACACGCCACACCUCCGGGGCACGGAACGGGUGCAUGGUCACCCCCCAUCACAGACACCCCUUCCCUCAGCACCUGGGCUCUGUCAGGUGGGGUCACCCCUCCCCCACAAACACCCCUCCCUCAGCAUCUGGGCUCUGUCAGGUCGGAGGCACAGUUUGAAGGCAGCUGAGUCCCUAGCAUGACCGCAUCACAUCACCCACAUCCCGUGACAUCACCCUUGGCUCCGUGACCCCUGCCCGUAAAAUCACCCUCAGCGCUGUGACCCUCAGCCCCCAGCACUGUGACCCCCACCCAGUGACCCCCACCCUCUGACCUCGCCCUGGGACAGCCCCCUUAGUCCUGCGACCCCCCAUCCCGUGACGUCUCCCCAGGACCCCACCCCGCGACAUCCCCUUCACCCCGUGACCCUCUGUCCCCAGUGCCCGGACCCCGGCUGCUCUGGGAUAUAGACCCGCGUGCGGGUAAGGGAGCAGGUAACAGGUCUUGGGGUUAAAACGAUCGCCGUGGACACAAGACUCGUCUGUGGCACCAGGUCCCCGGGAUCUUUCCUCUUCGGGGGCUUUUCCUGACCCGCACGCGUUUUCUACCCAGAACACGGAUGCAGAUCCAAGGGGCCCGACGUGGGAACGCUGUCAGCUACUUCUACGGCCAUUCCAGGGAGUCCGCUCUUGUCCGAAUUCCUCGGGUAGCAGCUUCCAAAGCUGUGUCCUGGGAUGUCAGCCCCACAGCACAGGGGCCGCCCUCGCAGGGCCGCGGGGGUUCCAGGAAUCUCCUUCCUGUGUGGCCUCGAUCAUGACCUCCCCACGCGGACGCUGAUGCCCUGUCCUCCCCCCACUGCUCUGGGGGGGCCCGUCCCUCCCGAGUCCUCCUGUGACCUCCCCUUCCCUGGGGUGUGUCUUCUGUCCUCUCCCUCACUGCCCUCCAGGGGUCUGUCCCUGUGUCGUCCCCUGCCGUCCCCUCCUCUCUGGAGUCUGUCCUCUCCCCUCCUCGGCAGGGCUCUGUCCUCUGGGUGGCCCCGUGUCGGCACCCCCAUCUGUGCCCUCUGCCCCGUUCGCCNNNNNNNNNNNNNNNNNNNNNNNNNNNNNNNNNNNNNNNN
Long non-coding RNA from Mustela putorius furo (domestic ferret), 1823 nucleotides. The record is from Ensembl. NCBI's taxonomy places the organism in Eukaryota, Metazoa, Chordata, Mammalia, Carnivora, Mustelidae.